Molecule: ribosomal RNA, 754 nt
Filed under: uncultured Flavobacterium sp.
Lineage: Bacteria; Pseudomonadati; Bacteroidota; Flavobacteriia; Flavobacteriales; Flavobacteriaceae
Description: bacterial SSU rRNA
Rfam family: Bacterial small subunit ribosomal RNA
Source: RNAcentral
AUUAGAGUUUGAUCCUGGCUCAGGAUGAACGCUAGCGGCAGGCUUAACACAUGCAAGUCGAGGGGUAUAAGUCUUCGGACUUAGAGACCGGCGCACGGGUGCGUAACGCGUAUGCAAUCUACCUUUCACAAAGGAAUAGCCCAGAGAAAUUUGGAUUAAUGCCUUAUAGUAUUACGACUUCGCAUGGAGAUGUAAUUAAAGAUUUAUCGGUGAAAGAUGAGCAUGCGUCCCAUUAGCUAGUUGGUAAGGUAACGGCUUACCAAGGCAACGAUGGGUAGGGGUCCUGAGAGGGAGAUCCCCCACACUGGUACUGAGACACGGACCAGACUCCUACGGGAGGCAGCAGUGAGGAAUAUUGGUCAAUGGGCGCAAGCCUGAACCAGCUAUGCCGCGUGCAGGAUGACGGUCCUAUGGAUUGUAAACUGCUUUUAUACAGGAAGAAACACUCGGACGUGUCCGAGCUUGACGGUACUGUAGGAAUAAGGAUCGGCUAACUCCGUGCCAGCAGCCGCGGUAAUACGGAGGAUCCAAGCGUUAUCCGGAAUCAUUGGGUUUAAAGGGUCCGUAGGCGGCUUAAUAAGUCAGUGGUGAAAUCCCUACGCUUAACGUAGGAACGGCCAUUGAUACUGUUAGGCUUGAAUUAUUAGGAAGUAACUAGAAUAUGUAGUGUAGCGGUGAAAUGCUUAGAGAUUACAUGGAAUACCAAUUGCGAAGGCAGGUUACUACUAAUGGAUUGACGCUGAUGGACGAAAGC